UGAGCCUCACUACCCCGGCUAUCAGGACAGCUGCCAGAUCGCACCGUUUCCAGAAGCUGCGUUGCCAACAUCACAUCCCAAAAUAGUGUUGACAUCCCUGCCUGCGCUGGCGGUCCCACCCCCAACUCCCACCAAAGCAGCACCUCCCGCGUUGGUCAACGGGCUGGAGCUGUCAGAGCCGCGGAGCUGGCUGUACCUGGAAGAGAUGGUCAACUCCUUGCUCAACACCGCGCAGCAGCUGAAGACGCUGUUUGAGCAAGCCAAGCAUGCCAGCACCUACCGAGAAGCUGCCGCAAACCAGGCCAAGAUCCACGCUGACGCAGAGCGGAAGGAGGUAACGUUGGAAUAAAUGGGAAGACACGACCUGUGCUGAGUAACCCCAGGCCACCCUGGUGCCUGCGCCCAGCUGUGUAAGACCCACCUUGGCUCACAAGGCCCCUGCCCCACCUUUCUGGAAAAGGGAGCCGUGGAGAGUCAUUUAUAAAUGAAGCUUUUCCU
RNAcentral lists this small RNA (498 nucleotides) under Pongo abelii (Sumatran orangutan). RNAcentral describes it as "retained intron". The record is from RNAcentral. Lineage: Eukaryota; Metazoa; Chordata; Mammalia; Primates; Hominidae.